This 1857-nucleotide long non-coding RNA is filed under the name Homo sapiens (human). RNAcentral describes it as "HSALNT0145986". The record is from RNAcentral. Lineage: Eukaryota; Metazoa; Chordata; Mammalia; Primates; Hominidae.
CUGGUCUCGAACUGCUGACCUCAGGUGAUCCACCCGCCUCUGCCUUCCAAAGUGCUGGGAUUACAGGUGUGAGCCACCGCACCAGGCCGCAUGAAUAUCUUUAUUCAUGAGCCUGGAUCCCUAAGAAUGAGGGUGCCUCUGACUAUUCUUAAUUCGUUCAGCAGUCACAUUCAUCGCACAACACCCAAAGACAUAUUUGGUCUGCAGUUCGCACCUAUUCCUCUGGAGCUUUGAACAGUUAAUAAACAUUAGCUCGUUAGCAUUAAUUAAAAGGCAUCUUAUUACAGCAGGAUCCAGAGUUACCACCUAGCCACUCUAAAAACCAGCGGUCGGCUUGACUUCCAGCAAAGCCUCUUUUAUCGAUGGCUUCUGUGGGUGUAGUUAACCUCCGCCGUCCCCCGUCUGAUCUCAUUAUUUCAGAUCCUCGCAUCCUGGCUGGCUUUGCCUUCUCUCUCUCCUCGAUCCUCCCUUUACAUAAAUGCGAUUGUUUCGUUGCUUCCUUCCUCGGAGCCCGGGUUUUGUCCGGGCUUGGCUCGGUUUGCGCGUUUAAGAACGAGCGCCUAGGCCUCCGGGCAAGGGUCUAGAGCUCCCGCAGCCCUUCACUGGGUGACCUCCUCCUGUCGGGGCCAUUUGUCUUCAGGGCCUCUCUUUGAGGCUCUGAACAGGACGCUCCAAGUGGGGCCCGAGCGCUUGGCAGACAAGCCCCUGGAUUGUUGCUAGAGACCCUCAGGUCGCCUUGGGGCGGAGCGCGCCUUUCAUGAAUCCGGGAGCCUGGGAUGCGCAUGGCGAGGAGGGGGGAAACGUGCUGGGGAGAAGGCAGGCCUUGAUGUACGCCCUGGUGGACAAAAGCUGCUAGUGUCAGCUUGAUUUGCAAGAUCAACAUUCAUGAGUUUCACCGCUUAGAAAGGGGCAUUAUCUGCAAACCGGAGACUGAAUGGAAGCCAUAAACAAGUGAUUUCACACUACCAAGCAGGAAGAAUAUUCUACCUCCUCAAUUAUUCUGAACAGCAUGUUUGGCCCCUUCCAGGUUCCCACCGCUAGCGAGCCCUCCACCCCUGGUGUGUGCAAACGGUGGACCUUUCGGCGCCUAAGAAACCGGGUGCUGAGCCCGGGAGCAGCGCCUGCUUUUCUUCCCAAGAUCCACUCCGGGUUUUGCCUAGCGCUGCUCCGGGAACCCAUUCCAGACGCAGCAUGGACACAGAAGGAUUCUGAAAUGAUUUUAGAUAUUUCGUGGUAUUGAGCAAAUCAGUAAACACAUUGUUGUUGAGAUCCAGAGUUCUCACUGUGGAGAAGAAAGUUACAAAUACAGAAAGAGAGAAGACAUGGAUGUAAGAAGAAUGGACUGCAAUUGGAGAUUGCCUUUUGGUUGCAAGGGGAACAAUAAUAAUUACACAGUGCAGAAAUCAGAUACCCCUUUGACUAGUGACUGAAAUGAACAUCACCAAUAAAGGACAGACAGACAUCAUGUGCCUCUGGAUACGAUGCCCCAAAGAGGAGGUAAUACUACUCUUGUACUAUUUGACUGGAAAUGCAUAGCCUGAGUUUAAUGAUGAGGAAGCGUUAUAGAAGCCCCAAACAAGGAACAUUCCAUCUUACAAACAGGAACUGUUUUUAACAUGUCAGUGUCAUAAAGAAGAAAAAAAUCUAAAGAGAUAUGUCAACUCACUACGAUAUAUGAUUUUAGACUGAAUCCUGUACUGAAAAAACAUUACUGUGUCUGAUAGGCAGCCACUAAAAUGGUCCCACUUCCAGAUAUUUGCCCCUCUGUAUAAUCAUUUCCCUUGAAUGUAGGCUGAACUAACGACUUACUGACUUGCUUUUAAUGAAUAGAAGAUGGUAGAAGUAAUAGAAUGUCAC